AUUGGUUUUGUUUUCUAUUUGGUGAAUUUUUUUUAUGAUCUUUUUUAUAUAAUAUUUUUUUUACAAUAUAAAGUAACAAAAUUUGCAUUGCAUUUUGAGGUAAUCACCGUAAUCUACAUUUUAUUUCAAUAUAUAUAUAUAUAUAUAUAUAUAUAUAGUUUUAGGGCAAAUCAUUUCAGCCUACCCAAUCGCCUCCAUCUUUAUUCUCGUUCUCAACUCUGAACUUGCACUGCACUCGGAAAAAGAAUGAGGCUCGUUCAGAGGGAUGGGAUGUUUCUAAGGGUGGUUGACCCUCUCUGUAAACGAUGAUCUCCUACAAAAUAAGGGAUGUGUGAUCAUCUAGAGCCAAUGAUCUCAUUUCCUACAGAAUCAACAGCCCUUUGUGUGUAGUGUGUGUGUGUGUAUAUAUAUAUAUAUUUGUGCGCGCGCGCACGCGCUGGACUGGUGCAUCUCCAAUCCUUCUUCUUCCAUCAUCAUCAUCAUCAAUCAUCAAUAAUCAUUAUAAGAGGCUGUGAUAAUAUAUGUUCUGAGUGGAUCAUACUGGCAUUGAGAAUCGGAUCCGUUUGUUGGCGGGGCAAACCAGAGGGUCUGUGGGAGAGAGAUUUGGUUCUUCUCUCAAAGGCAACUGUUGUUGCAGCCAGGGUGGUGGGAUAUACUCUUGCCCUGAUCAAAAGCAGAUCUGAGCCUCAAUUGUAGUCGAGUGUAUUUUAUUGAAAAUUUUCAAAAAAAAAAAACCUCUAAUCUUUAUAUUUUCAAUAUAUAUAUAUAUAUAUAUAUAUAUAUAUAUAUUUCUAUUUGGUGAAAUUUUUUAUGAUCUUUUUUAUAUAAUUUUUUUUUUUUUUUUACACUAUAAAUUAACAAAAUUUGCGUAGCAUUUUGAGGAGGUAAUCAUCGUAAUCUACAUUUUAUAUCAGCAAAACAAAUAUAAUUUUUUUUAUUUUAUUUUUGGUUUUCAAUUAUGUCCGCAAGAAAUUUGAAUCUGGGCAUGAAAAAAGAAAAAAAAAAAAAAAAAAAAAAGAAUCUGAAUUGGAAUAGAAAUCUGCAGAGAUUGAAUCUGAAACAAUUUUUAUCCACAUGCCAAGCUUUUGGAAGACGGAAAUCUUUUCAGAACUAAAAAAAAAUCAUUACAAGAACUUUGACAAGCAAAACUAGUUAAUAUAGGGUAAAGUUACUUCUUGAAAAUUAAAAUAUUUACAAAAAGCAUGCUUUUCAGUGAAUUCCAUAGUGUUGGAAGGGGCUUGCCAUGAACUACCUCACACUCUGCUUCCAGUCAUAGAUUCUCAAAUAGGAUUAGUAAAUUGGUCAAAAGAAGAGAUAGGGUACUGAGUGGUGAAUUGUUCAGAAAUAAAUUGGUAAUUUUUUUUUUUUAAUUACCCAAAUAGGAUUUUCUAUGCCUUAAUCAGUCAAUUGUCUAAAGAAACAUUGUUAAUUAACUAAAAUUGAAUUAAACAACAGUUGAUUUUGGUUGAUAUAUGUUUAUUUAGCCCACCCCAUUGAGAAAUCCUGGAUCUAUAUAUAUAUAUAUAUAUGCAAGUGGGUUGCUAUAAAUCACAACCACUCUCUAUCAGCCAACAGUUCGUCGAUGCCUUGCAAAGCGGUGGCCGACCGCCACAUAGGUCAUGGAAGAAGCUUCUGUAGGCAAUUAUCAGUUGAACUGUGUGGAAGAAAGUUGUUGGACUGAGCGGUGUCGGUAAUAGGUAUGUGUAUUCACAUUUAUUUGUGGCAUCAUAAUUUUAAAGCAGAGGGUUGGGAGAAGGUACUUGCUAGGAUUAAAGGGAGUUGUUCUUUAAAGGUAUCCACAUGCUUCAGCAUAGGAUAAUCCGAAUGGAGUGAAAACCCUGUUACGAUCUGGAUCCACUAGCCCUCCACUGUAUGAGUCCCCAGUAGGGGGAAAGGGAUUUCUGAAGGGGCUUCAUCAGUUGGGUGUUUUUUGACAAACUCAGCUACAAGGCUCGAUUGAUCCACGAACCCAAAAUAUCAAGGCAGGACUGGUGUUGGCAUUUGGCAUUCAACUGAAGUAGGGAAUUUCAACCAGGGCCGGUCCUGACGCAAGGCGACAAAGGUGGUCGCCUAGGGCCUCAAAAUUUAAAGGCCCAUGGAUGAUGGGCCACCAGAAAAAAAUAAAUAAAAAAUAAAAAAUUUUAGGGCAAAUUAUUUCAGCCUCACCAAUCGCCUCCAUCUCUAUUCUCGUUCUCAACUCUGAACUUGCCCUCUCUCUCUCUCUCUCCCCAACUGCAAACUACAAAAUCUACAAGAAUCAGAAGUUCAAAACCCAUAUAUUUCAGUUUAACUCUGUUUGCAAGAUUCAAAAGUUGAAAACCUAUUACCUAUAUCAAAACCCCCAUAUCGGCAUAUCAUUUCAGAUUGUUCAAAAAAUCAAAACCCAUAUCUUUCAGUUUCCAUUGCCCGCUGUUCCAGUUCGGGUUCACCGUUUGCAAGCUUCAGCCGCUGUCUCUCAACUCUCACCCCCGCCCCCCCCCCCCCCCCCCCCCCCCCUCUCCCCUGCAACUGCUAACUUGUAUUUAUGGGUUUUGUUUUCUAUUUGGUGAAAUUUUUUAUGAUCUUUUUUUAUAUAAUUUUUUUUUUUUUUUUUACAAUAUGAAGUAACAAAAUUUGCAUUGCAUUUUGAGGUAA
Molecule: long non-coding RNA, 2634 nt
Organism: Cornus florida
Lineage: Eukaryota; Viridiplantae; Streptophyta; Magnoliopsida; Cornales; Cornaceae
Exons: 3
Source: RefSeq, a predicted model, not a curated record